This 2902-nucleotide ribosomal RNA is filed under the name Pseudomonas yamanorum. Its description in RNAcentral is "23S ribosomal RNA". Lineage: Bacteria; Pseudomonadati; Pseudomonadota; Gammaproteobacteria; Pseudomonadales; Pseudomonadaceae. The record is from RNAcentral.
ACCACAAACUGAUCGACCAAUCCACCCAGGAAAUCGUGGAAACCGCGAAACGUACUGGUGCUCAAGUGCGUGGUCCAAUUCCACUGCCUACCCGUAAAGAGCGGUUCACCGUUCUGGUCUCCCCGCACGUCAACAAAGACGCGCGUGACCAGUACGAGAUCCGUACUCAUAAGCGCGUGCUGGACAUCGUCCUGCCAACGGAUAAAACCGUUGAUGCACUUAUGAAGCUUGAUCUGGCGGCCGGUGUGGAAGUACAGAUCAGCCUCGGCUAAGACUUGGGUCUUAGUCGUGUAACGCUCUGAAAUGGGCGGCCAUAGCGGGUGAAAGCCCCGUACACUCAUGAGGUUUACAACAUGACUAUUGGUGUAGUCGGUCGUAAAUGCGGUAUGACCCGUAUUUUCACCGAAGAAGGUGUCUCCAUUCCGGUCACGGUCAUUGAGAUCGAACCGAAUCGCGUCACCCAGUUUAAAACUGAAGAAACCGAUGGCUAUCGUGCAGUGCAAGUCACUGUCGGCGAGCGUCGUGCUUCGCGUGUGACUGCUGCUCAAGCAGGCCACUUCGCUAAAGCAAACGUUGCAGCUGGUCGUACUGUCAUGGAGUUCCGUCUUGAAGACGGCGACUACCAGGCUGGCGAUCUGAUCAACGCUGAAAUCUUCGCCGCUGGUCAACUGGUUGAUGUAACCGGUCAGUCCAAAGGUAAAGGCUUCCAGGGUACGAUCAAGCGUUGGAAUUUCCGUGGCCAAGACAACACUCACGGUAACUCCGUUUCCCACCGCGUCCCGGGCUCUAUUGGCCAGUGCCAGACUCCUGGUCGUGUAUUCAAGGGCAAAAAAAUGUCCGGUCAUAUGGGCGCUGAGCGCGUGACCGUGCAGUCCCUCGAAGUAGUGCGCGUCGACGCUGAACGCAAUCUGUUGUUGGUCAAGGGUGCUGUUCCUGGCGCUACUGGCGGCAACCUGGUUGUACGUCCAGCGGCCAAGGCUCGCGGUUAAGGGGAAGCUGACAUGCAAUUAAAUGUAAAUGACGCUCAAGCGAUCGAAGUUUCCGAACUGACAUUUGGCGGCGAAUUCAACGAGACGCUGGUUCACCAAGCAGUCGUGGCCUACAUGGCCGGCGGCCGUCAAGGUAGCAAGCAGCAAAAGACCCGUUCCGACGUUCGUGGUGGCGGUAAGCGCCCUUGGCGUCAGAAAGGUACUGGCCGUGCUCGUGCCGGUACUAUCCGUAGCCCAAUCUGGCGUGGCGGCGGUACCACUUUCGCAGCACGUCCACAGGAUCAUACCCAGAAGCUCAACAAGAAGAUGUAUCGCGCAGCACUGCGCUCCAUCCUUGCUGAACUCGUGCGUACUGAUCGUCUGGUCGUGGUUCAGGACUUCGCUGUUGAAGCGCCGAAAACCAAAGAUCUGCUGAACAAGCUGAACGGCAUGGGCCUGACUGACGUCCUGAUCGUGUCUGAAGCUGUUGAUCAGAACCUGUACCUGGCUGCUCGCAACCUGCCACACGUUGAUGUACGUGACGUGCAAGGUUCCGAUCCAGUUAGUCUGAUCGCAUACGACAAGGUGUUGAUCACCGUGUCGGCCGUGAAGAAAUUCGAGGAGCUGCUGGGAUGAACCAGGAACGCGUAUUUAAAGUUCUGCUUGGCCCGCACGUUUCCGAAAAGGCUACGGUUCUGGCUGACAAGAAAGGCCAGUUCGUUUUCAAGGUUGCAACUGACGCAACCAAGCUGGAAAUCAAGAAGGCCGUCGAAAGCCUGUUCAGCGUGAAAGUAGAGCGUGUUACUACCCUGAAUGUUCUGGGUAAGAGCAAGCGCACUGCUCGCGGUCUGGGCAAGCGUAAUGACUGGAAGAAGGCAGUUAUCUCCCUUCAGCCAGGCCAAGAUCUCGAUUUCAGCAGCAGUGCUGAGUAAGGAAGGGGUGCAUCAUGGCAAUCGUUAAAUGCAAACCGACUUCCCCUGGCCGCCGUUUUGUGGUCAAGGUGGUCAACCAGGAGCUGCAUAAAGGCGCUCCUCACGCACCGCUGCUCGAGAAGAAAUCGAAGACUGGUGGUCGUAACAACAAUGGUCGUAUUACCACUCGUCACAUCGGUGGUGGCCAUAAGCAGCAUUAUCGUCUGGUCGACUUCCGUCGCAACGACAAAGAUGGCAUUGCUGCCACUGUCGAGCGUAUCGAAUACGAUCCAAACCGUACUGCUCACAUCGCUCUGCUGCUGUACGCAGAUGGCGAGCGUCGCUACAUCAUCGCCCCUAAAGGCGUGAGUGCUGGUGACCAGCUGAUCGCAGGUGCUUUGGCACCGAUCAAGCCGGGCAACGCUCUGCAACUGCGCAACAUUCCAGUUGGUAGCACCGUACACGGCAUCGAAUUGAAGCCGGGUAAAGGCGCGCAAAUCGCUCGUUCCGCUGGUGCUUCGGCUCAGCUGAUCGCUCGUGAAGGUGUCUACGUGACCCUGCGUCUGCGCUCUGGUGAAAUGCGUAAAGUACUGGCUGAAUGCCGUGCGACCCUGGGCGAAGUCUCGAACUCCGAGCACAGCCUGCGUUCGCUGGGUAAAGCUGGUGCCAAACGCUGGCGUGGCGUUCGCCCAACCGUUCGUGGUGUUGCCAUGAACCCGGUUGACCACCCACACGGUGGUGGUGAAGGUCGUACCUCUGGUGGUCGUCAUCCGGUAUCGCCAUGGGGCUUCCCGACUAAGGGCGCGAAGACUCGUGGUAAUAAGCGUACCGACAAAAUGAUCGUCCGUCGUCGCAAGUAAAUAGAGGGAUACGACAGUGCCACGUUCUCUGAAAAAAGGUCCUUUUAUUGAUCUUCACCUACUGAAGAAGAUCGAAGUGGCGGCGGAAAAGAACGAUCGCAAACCGGUGAAAACCUGGUCGCGUCGUUCGAUGAUCCUGCCACAAAUGGUCGGUCUGACCAUU